RNAcentral lists this ribosomal RNA (1026 nucleotides) under bacterium. RNAcentral's name for it is "bacterial SSU rRNA". It matches the Rfam family "Bacterial small subunit ribosomal RNA", at positions 32 to 1072 of the family's 1533-position model. The record is from RNAcentral.
GGCCAUGGCGGCGUGCUUACCAUGCAGUCGAACGAUGAUCUCCAGCUUGCUGGGGGGAUUAGUGGCGAACGGGUGAGUAACACGUGAGUAACCUGCCCUUGACUCUGGGAUAAGCCUGGGAAACUGGGUCUAAUACCGGAUACGACCGCUCCACGCAUGUGGUGGUGGUGGAAAGCUUUUGCGGUUUUGGAUGGACUCGCGGCCUAUCAGCUUGUUGGUGGGGUAAUGGCCUACCAAGGCGACGACGGGUAGCCGGCCUGAGAGGGUGACCGGCCACACUGGGACUGAGACACGGCCCAGACUCCUACGGGAGGCAGCAGUGGGGAAUAUUGCACAAUGGGCGCAAGCCUGAUGCAGCGACGCCGCGUGAGGGAUGACGGCCUUCGGGUUGUAAACCUCUUUCAGUAGGGAAGAAGCGUAAGUGACGGUACCUGCAGAAGAAGCGCCGGCUAACUACGUGCCAGCAGCCGCGGUAAUACGUAGGGCGCAAGCGUUAUCCGGAAUUAUUGGGCGUAAAGAGCUCGUAGGCGGUUUGUCGCGUCUGCUGUGAAAGACCGGGGCUCAACUCCGGUUCUGCAGUGGGUACGGGCAGACUAGAGUGAUGUAGGGGAGACUGGAAUUCCUGGUGUAGCGGUGAAAUGCGCAGAUAUCAGGAGGAACACCGAUGGCGAAGGCAGGUCUCUGGGCAUUAACUGACGCUGAGGAGCGAAAGCAUGGGGAGCGAACAGGAUUAGAUACCCUGGUAGUCCAUGCCGUAAACGUUGGGCACUAGGUGUGGGGGACAUUCCACGUUUUCCGCGCCGUAGCUAACGCAUUAAGUGCCCCGCCUGGGGAGUACGGCCGCAAGGCUAAAACUCAAAGGAAUUGACGGGGGCCCGCACAAGCGGCGGAGCAUGCGGAUUAAUUCGAUGCAACGCGAAGAACCUUACCAAGGCUUGACAUGAACCGGUAACGCCUGGAAACAGGUGCCCCGCUUGCGGUCGGUUUACAGGUGGUGCAUGGUUGUCGUCAGCUCGUGUCGUGAGA